UGGGGAAUAUUGCGCAAUGGGCGAAAGCCUGACGCAGCAACGCCGCGUGAGUGAUGAAGGCCUUCGGGUCGUAAAGCUCUGUCGGAGGGAACGAAUGCUCUUGAGGUUAACAGCCUCGGGAGGUGACGGUACCCUCAAAGGAAGCACCGGCUAACUCUGUGCCAGCAGCCGCGGUAAUACAGAGGGUGCAAGCGUUGUUCGGAAUUACUGGGCGUAAAGCGCACGUAGGCGGAUUUGUAAGUCAGGGGUGAAAUCCCGGGGCUCAACCUCGGAACUGCCCUUGAUACUGCAAAUCUCGAGUCCGAUAGAGGUGAGUGGAAUUCCUAGUGUAGAGGUGAAAUUCGUAGAUAUUAGGAAGAACACCAGUGGCGAAGGCGGCUCACUGGAUCGGUACUGACGCUGAGGUGCGAAAGCGUGGGGAGCAAACAGGAUUAGAUACCCUCGUAGUCCCUGAGCGGGCUGGCAAGGCGCAU
This 473-nucleotide ribosomal RNA is filed under the name uncultured bacterium. RNAcentral's name for it is "bacterial SSU rRNA". It matches the Rfam family "Bacterial small subunit ribosomal RNA", at positions 355 to 825 of the family's 1533-position model. The record is from RNAcentral.